ACUCCUACGGGAGGCAGCAGUAGGGAAUAUUGGUCAAUGGACGGAAGUCUGAACCAGCCAUGCCGCGUGCAGGAAGACGGCCUUCUGGGUUGUAAACUGCUUUUAUCAGGGAAGAAUAAGCUUCUUGCGAGAGGUGAUGCCGGUACCUGAGGAAUAAGCACCGGCUAACUCCGUGCCAGCAGCCGCGGUAAUACGGAGGGUGCAAGCGUUGUCCGGAUUUAUUGGGUUUAAAAGGGGUGCGUAGGCGGCCUGUUUAAGUCAGUGGUGAAAGGUAUCAGCUCAACUGAUGACGUGCCAUUGAAACUGGCGGGCUUGAGUACAGACGAGGUAGGCGGAAUUUAUGGUGUAGCGGUGAAAUGCAUAGAUACCAUAAAGAACACCGAUAGCGAAGGCAGCUUACUAGGCUGAGACUGACGCUGAGGCACGAAAGCGUGGGGAGCGAACAGGAUUAGAUACCCUGGUAGCUACGAGU
RNAcentral lists this ribosomal RNA (472 nucleotides) under uncultured bacterium. Its description in RNAcentral is "bacterial SSU rRNA". It matches the Rfam family "Bacterial small subunit ribosomal RNA", at positions 335 to 802 of the family's 1533-position model. The record is from RNAcentral.